AAUAAAACACUAUUACAUCAAACUGCAGACAAACAAAAAUCUGAAUACAUUCGCUAUCUUCUCAGGGCAUUUCUGUACCUAAUGAGCACAGCUGAGCCCAAAGGCGUCAAGAUGUUUCUUGCCAUUAGGCAAUGGGGUGGAGGAUUAUCCAAUAAUUCCUGGCGGGCAUUGUCGGUUCUUCUGGGUAAAAUAGGAAGAAGGUCAAAAGAGGAUGCAAAUGUUUUUUAAUCAAUGGAAGAGAGAAGUGAUACAUUCCUCUGACCUUUUCGAUUGCUGGGAAGAUAUAUUAUCUGCAUUAAUUAGCAUGUUGAAGAAUUCCUUCUGGAUUGCCAAGUGCCUUCCUAGCUCACAUCCACGGUCCUAGAAUGCCAGAACUUGGAAGACUCCAUGUUAAGCCUUCUUUGUAAUUACUGCUGAGGAGACUGAGACCCAAGGAGCCAAGUCAUGUUUGGGGUCCGAGACUGGGAGAACCAUGACCUCGGUGAAACCAUUUUGCAAAGCCACUGGUGAGCCUCUCCAUGUGAGCAGAAUGAACUCUUAGCUACCCUUCUGUUUGUAUUUCUUUGUUUGAAUUUUCCAUCAUGUGAACAAUUAGUUAUCAGUCAAAAUAUGCUAUGUCUAACAUCUUUCUUUCCAUUUCUAAAUGUAAAAAAUGAAACUUCUCCUUUCUGAAAGCCUAAAAAUCUGUAACCGGUGAAAACUUAACACUUUUUUUCUGAAGUACAUUAAAAGAAGCAUAGUACAGAAUA
This is a long non-coding RNA of Herpailurus yagouaroundi (jaguarundi), 749 nucleotides long. RefSeq lists it as uncharacterized. The transcript is spliced from 2 exons. NCBI's taxonomy places the organism in Eukaryota, Metazoa, Chordata, Mammalia, Carnivora, Felidae. The record is from RefSeq and is a predicted model, not a curated record.